AACGAGUUAGUAUAAUAAAUACCACCGAUUUAGGAUCGGUAAAAAAGAUCCACACCUUACCCGUUA
RNAcentral lists this transfer RNA (66 nucleotides) under Margaritifera laevis. Its description in RNAcentral is "tRNA-Leu". Lineage: Eukaryota; Metazoa; Mollusca; Bivalvia; Unionida; Margaritiferidae. The record is from RNAcentral.